RNAcentral lists this long non-coding RNA (755 nucleotides) under Marmota monax (woodchuck). Lineage: Eukaryota; Metazoa; Chordata; Mammalia; Rodentia; Sciuridae. The record is from RNAcentral.
UGGGAGGAGGGCGCGUAUGCGCUAGGCCUCGCGAGCCGGUCGGCUGCUGAGGCUGAGGGGAGGAGCUGAAGACAGCGGCUUCGGCUCCCGCCCGCACUGAGCUUUCGUCCAGCGAAUCCCCCUCCCACUCCCGGGCGGGCGGCGGCGGCGGCGGGAGGAGGAGAAAGAGGAGGGAGCGUCUCUGCCGCCGCCUCCUGGUCCCCAGCGCCGAUCCGCCGCCGCCACCUCCCUCUGUGGUGAUCCUCCCUCCAUGGUCCUGCCGCGGCCCCCCCUGUAGCCCAAGCUGCCCCGCGCCGCUCCGGAGCCGGCCUCGGGCAGAGGGAGCGGUCGCGGCCUCGCGGCCCGCGCGGGCUGACGAGCAGAGAGCGCGGCGCCGCGCGGUCCCCGAGGGUCCGCACGCCGGGCAGCGCGGCCCGAGCAGCGAGAGGAGCAGCGGGCGGGCGGGCGGCGCAGGGCCCGGGCCGCCCUCGCUCCCACGCCCCGGCCCCGCCGCCCGCGCCGGGGCGGUCGCCCGCAGAGGAAGGCGCUGCAGUCUCCGGGCCUCGCGGCCCCACUCAAGCGUCCUCAGCACCGAGGGCUCGCGGGUCCUGAAGGGAGGAGGCGAGCCCGGGGCCGGGCACUGAGCUCUUGGGCGCCCCCAUCCCCGUUUUCGGAGCCCUCCACGCUGCGGCCGCUGUCCUCUCCGGACCAUGGCCGACGACGACGUGCUGUUCGAGGAUGUGUACGAGCUGUGCGAGGUGAUCGGCAAGUGAGUC